This 182-nucleotide non-coding RNA is filed under the name Corallincola sp. Its description in RNAcentral is "6S RNA". It matches the Rfam family "6S / SsrS RNA". From Rfam's summary of the family: E. coli 6S RNA was the first non coding RNA to be sequenced, but its function was unknown until recently. It consists of 184 nucleotides that fold into an extended hairpin structure with a large single-stranded internal bulge. The 6S RNA specifically associates with RNA polymerase holoenzyme containing the sigma70 specificity factor. Lineage: Bacteria; Pseudomonadati; Pseudomonadota; Gammaproteobacteria; Alteromonadales; Psychromonadaceae. The record is from RNAcentral.
CCUUUCCUGGUGUGUGCGCCAGCGGAUCUAGUCCCUGAGCCGAUAUUUUUGAAAAAACGGGACGCUAUCGCCUGGCCAGUGUGCAAGCUCAGCCCGACUGAGAAGCCUUAGGUCAGCAUGGUCUCCCACCUUGAACCUGUGGGUUCAAGGGCGAACAUCCGCAGCGGCACACCGGGGCCCUC